GGGCAAUUAGUUUAAUGGUUAGAACACACUCGCACGGGUGAGAAAAAGGUUCGAUUCCUUUAUUGCCCACAA
This 72-nucleotide transfer RNA is filed under the name Bacteroides xylanisolvens. Its description in RNAcentral is "tRNA-OTHER". It matches the Rfam family "tRNA". Rfam says of the family: Transfer RNA (tRNA) molecules are approximately 80 nucleotides in length. Their secondary structure includes four short double-helical elements and three loops (D, anti-codon, and T loops). Further hydrogen bonds mediate the characteristic L-shaped molecular structure. tRNAs have two regions of fundamental functional importance: the anti-codon, which is responsible for specific mRNA codon recognition, and the 3' end, to which the tRNAs corresponding amino acid is attached (by aminoacyl-tRNA synthetases). tRNAs cope with the degeneracy of the genetic code in two manners: having more than one tRNA (with a specific anti-codon) for a particular amino acid; and 'wobble' base-pairing, i.e. permitting non-standard base-pairing at the 3rd anti-codon position. The record is from RNAcentral. Lineage: Bacteria; Pseudomonadati; Bacteroidota; Bacteroidia; Bacteroidales; Bacteroidaceae.